CAGUCGCCGCGGUAAUACAGAGGGUGCGAGCGUUAAUCGGAUUUACUGGGCGUAAAGCGUGCGUAGGCGGCUUCUUAAGUCGGAUGUGAAAUCCCUGAGCUUAACUUAGGAAUUGCAUUCGAUACUGGGAAGCUAGAGUAUGGGAGAGGAUGGUAGAAUUCCAGGUGUAGCGGUGAAAUGCGUAGAUAUGUGGAGGAACACCGAUGGCGAAGGCAGCCUCCUGGGCCAAUACUGACGCUCAUGCACGAAAGCGUGGGGAGCAAACAGGAUUAGAGACCCCCGUAGUCCCUGUCUCUUAUAC
Molecule: ribosomal RNA, 301 nt
Filed under: uncultured bacterium
Lineage: Bacteria
Description: partial 16S ribosomal RNA
Rfam family: Bacterial small subunit ribosomal RNA
Source: RNAcentral